UGCGGCGGCCAUGGCCCAGGUGAGACGCCCGGUCCCAUUCAGAACCCGGAAGCUAAGGCCUGGCACGGCGAUGGUACUGCACCCGACAGGGCGUGGGAGAGUAGCACGCCGCCGCAC
This 117-nucleotide ribosomal RNA is filed under the name Bifidobacterium longum. The record is from RNAcentral. Lineage: Bacteria; Bacillati; Actinomycetota; Actinomycetes; Bifidobacteriales; Bifidobacteriaceae.